AUCCUGAAAAAAAACCCCUUAAAACAUCUAAAGAAAAAACAAUUCACCCUACCAUAUUCUUUAGUAAUAUCACUUAAUGAAUUAUGCAUAUGUUUGAUAUUCCUUCCUUACUGGGAAAAGUAUAAAAAGUGCAGAAAUCUGUGCCGAAAUAUUUUUUUCAGGCUGAGGGAUUUGCAGGAGUUGACCGGACGGGCCGAGCCAGAGAGGAGUCAUAACAUCACAGCAUGUUGUUUUAAGCUAGCGUUAGCCAAGAAGUUAGCCAAUGCUAUUGGCUACCCUUAGCUCCAGAAACAAGGGGAAUCUUUUUCCCCCUUUUUUACCCACAUUGCAAAGCAUAAUAACAUCAUGACUGAGGUUAUUUGGCUGGUGCAAGGAAAGAGAGCUGUGGCAGUUGUGUGUGUACAGAUGAGGCAAAGAGAAGAAAGUCACUCAGGCGGUGAGCUUCACUCAUUUCUGGGAUAUACAACAGAAAGGCAACACAGAGGUGCAGAUACUGUGAAGGUGUCAGAAGGUACCAUGGUCACAAGAAGCUUCAGUACUGCGGGAUGCAGAGCUCUCACAGUGUGUGUAGCGCUUUUCCACUUCAAACUUCCUCUCAUUUUCUGUGGUCACUUCCUGGGUGUCCACAGUCAAGCUUGCUACAGCAGUGACGGUAACACUGGACAUAUAUACUGCCCAGGGCCAAAUAAAGAGCACCUCCACCUAAGGGAAAGAGGAACCCCCAUAAUAACUAGUUGAGACAGCUGGAUGAAAGAAGCACAGCAGAGAAAAGAAAGCAGAGAGCAGAGCGUGGCUGACCCAAGGAUCACGCACUGGUUUGGCCCCGUGGGGUUUAGAUCAUAGCCAAUUGUAGUGGCCCCACUGCCCUGGCCUCACAUGCAGCAUUUCCUGAGCAGGGCCGUUCACAACCCUUCUACAAUACUGACACGGCUUACAUAGAGUAUUAAAAAAGAAUUAGACCCUG
RNAcentral lists this long non-coding RNA (964 nucleotides) under Oreochromis niloticus (Nile tilapia). RNAcentral describes it as "lncRNA (ENSONIG00000031576.1)". The record is from RNAcentral. Lineage: Eukaryota; Metazoa; Chordata; Actinopteri; Cichliformes; Cichlidae.